GGGGCCAUAGCUCAGUUGGGAGAGCGCCUGCUUUGCAAGCAGGAGGUCAUCGGUUCGAUCCCGAUUGGCUCCA
RNAcentral lists this transfer RNA (73 nucleotides) under Gemmatimonadota bacterium. RNAcentral describes it as "tRNA-Ala". It matches the Rfam family "tRNA". Rfam says of the family: Transfer RNA (tRNA) molecules are approximately 80 nucleotides in length. Their secondary structure includes four short double-helical elements and three loops (D, anti-codon, and T loops). Further hydrogen bonds mediate the characteristic L-shaped molecular structure. tRNAs have two regions of fundamental functional importance: the anti-codon, which is responsible for specific mRNA codon recognition, and the 3' end, to which the tRNAs corresponding amino acid is attached (by aminoacyl-tRNA synthetases). tRNAs cope with the degeneracy of the genetic code in two manners: having more than one tRNA (with a specific anti-codon) for a particular amino acid; and 'wobble' base-pairing, i.e. permitting non-standard base-pairing at the 3rd anti-codon position. RNAcentral also lists the same sequence under 2 other names. The record is from RNAcentral. Lineage: Bacteria; Pseudomonadati; Gemmatimonadota.